CUACGUGCCAGCAGCCGCGGUAAUACGUAGGUCCCGAGCGUUGUCCGGAUUUAUUGGGCGUAAAGCGAGCGCAGGCGGUUAGAUAAGUCUGAAGUUAAAGGCUGUGGCUUAACCAUAGUACGCUUUGGAAACUGUUUAACUUGAGUGCAAGAGGGGAGAGUGGAAUUCCAUGUGUAGCGGUGAAAUGCGUAGAUAUAUGGAGGAACACCGGUGGCGAAAGCGGCUCUCUGGCUUGUAACUGACGCUGAGGCUCGAAAGCGUGGGGAGCAACCAGGAUUAGAUACCCUGGUAGUCCACGCCGUAAACGAUGAGUGCUAGGUGUUAGACCCUUUCCGGGGUUUAGUGCCGUAGCUAACGCAUUAAGCACUCCGCCUGGGGAGUACGACCGCAAGGUUGAAACUCAAAGGAAUUGACGGGGGCCCGCACAAGCGGUGGAGCAUGUGGUUUAAUUCGAAGCAACGCGAAGAACCUUACCAGGUCUUGACAUCCCUCUGACCGCUCUAGAGAUAGAGCUUUCCUUCGG
This 523-nucleotide ribosomal RNA is filed under the name uncultured bacterium. RNAcentral describes it as "bacterial SSU rRNA". It matches the Rfam family "Bacterial small subunit ribosomal RNA", at positions 501 to 1022 of the family's 1533-position model. The record is from RNAcentral.